This is a long non-coding RNA of Harpia harpyja (harpy eagle), 1614 nucleotides long. RefSeq lists it as uncharacterized. Lineage: Eukaryota; Metazoa; Chordata; Aves; Accipitriformes; Accipitridae. The transcript is spliced from 2 exons. The record is from RefSeq and is a predicted model, not a curated record.
GCAUAGAAAGUCCCUGCUCUGGUUUCGCUGCAAGCUAGUAUUGGCAUGGUACAUAAAUAGUAUUUUCCUCCAUUUAGCUGAAUCACUUGUUCUAGACCAUUACAGAAGGCAAAAAUACUGUCCUUGAUAAGUCACUGGACUGAUGCAUUUUAGAAACUGAAUGAUUUCAAAAAGCCUACUAAUUUGUUUAUGUUUAAAAAUAAAAUGGGAAAUUACAUCUACAUCCUACAUCUAGGAUCCUAAUCAGGGGAAAAGGGAGACAAGUAAAGAGAGAAUGAGCUCUCUGCUUUAGCAGCAAACAAAACAAUUGCCUUUCUGAAUAAACUGAGAAAAUGAAAUGGAAAGAAAAAGUCCGCACCAUUUAGCCACUAUUCCCUCUGAACAAGAAGGUGCUGUGUUUCAUGUCUCAAUUAUGCCAGCCCUUUUCUCUGACACUCUCUGACACGAAGGUGCGUUCUGUGAUGAUCUAUGUCUUCAAAAUGUUUACAGCUAUGUUAGAAAUGUUUUGAUCUCACUUGAGGUGGUGUGGCUGCAUUUGCCCUUCACUCUCAGGUUUUCAGAGCAGCAGGAUGCUUUGAAGAGGACGUGAUUCUUCACAGGCAGAAGGAAGGUGUUCUGUUGUGUGCACAGGAAAGAAAAGAAAUCUUAAGAGCAAACGGCCGUGCAAUCAAACCUUGAAACAAAGGGGAAAGAAUGGUGAAAACAAUCUGAUUAGUAAUGAUCCAUCUGAACUUUGCAUCUAUGUUUUCUGAAGCUAUCAAGCUAAAUACAGCUUUAAGUUACACAAUGUUUUUCAUUCCUCCAAAGAACUGGACAGAACACAGGCAAUGUUACUUUUAAUGUUGGGGUUUUUUUUUUGUCUUUAUAUGGGUAAUGAUUAUAUGCUAUAAAGAGGAAGUUAAUUUUAAUGCUGUAUAACACGAUAAUCUGGAUUAAUGCUUUCGAACUUGACACUCUCGGAGAAUAAACUAAUUGGAUUUCUUUGUCCCAUGUUCCCUUAAAACAGCUUAAGACACAUUCUUCUUAAAAAUACAUCCAUCUGGGAGCAGAAAGGAGAGCAGUUUUCCCUUGGUGGACAAAGAAGCUGUUUUCUAAGAACAAGCAGCAAAUAUUGGCAGUUGAAACUUUGCUGCAACCCAUUGAAAUGCUGAUGAAAUGGUGGGGGCCUGGGUCCCCCUGUUCAUACAGUACUGUACAGUGUUUGCCCAAGAGCUUUGCUUGGUUGCAUCUUUUCAACGUGUAUUUCCUUGACUUACUGGGUUUUAAGAAAAAAAAAAAAGCUCUUUAGAAACUGCUCCCUUUAUCAGUGACUUGUUGCUGCAGAUAAACUAUGAAUUCUGAAUUCAUUCUAUCUGCACAGGCUGAAAGCAUUGGUAUCACAUCUCUCCUGGAUGUAGAAAACCACUAGGAACUGAAUUUUGGAAGGCCUAAACCAGGGAUUAGUUUCCUACGUAUCUGUUUGAUCGGGGAUUGCGUGAGUUCCUAAUUGAAUGCGUGAGGUUGAAUUCCAGAGCUGAGGUUGGUGCAGUGAUGUGCAAGUCAGAUUGCAAGAUCAGUUGUGUGAUCUCUGAUUUUUGUUUAAAAUAAAACUGCUGCAUGCACAGCUGAAAAGUC